RNAcentral lists this ribosomal RNA (1192 nucleotides) under Aspergillus sp. Its description in RNAcentral is "partial 18S ribosomal RNA". It matches the Rfam family "Eukaryotic small subunit ribosomal RNA", at positions 44 to 1116 of the family's 1831-position model. Lineage: Eukaryota; Fungi; Ascomycota; Eurotiomycetes; Eurotiales; Aspergillaceae. The record is from RNAcentral.
CAAAAUCAUGCUGUCUAGUAUAAGCAUUUAUACGGUGAACUGCGAAUGGCUCAUUAAAUCAGUUAUCGUUUAUUUGAUAGUACCUUACUACAUGGAUACCUGUGGUAAUUCUAGAGCUAAUACAUGCUAAAAACCUCGACUUCGGAAGGGGUGUAUUUAUUAGAUAAAAAACCAAUGCCCUUCGGGGCUCCUUGGUGAAUCAUAAUAACUUAACGAAUCGCAUGGCCUUGCGCCGGCGAUGGUUCAUUCAAAUUUCUGCCCUAUCAACUUUCGAUGGUAGGAUAGUGGCCUACCAUGGUGGCAACGGGUAACGGGGAAUUAGGGUUCGAUUCCGGAGAAGGAGCCUGAAAAACGGCUACCACAUCCAAGGAAGGCAGCAGGCGCGCAAAUUACCCAAUCCCGACACGGGGAGGUAGUGACAAUAAAUACUGAUACGGGGGCUCUUUUGGGUCUCGUAAUUGGAAUGAGUACAAUCUAAAUCCCUUAACGAGGAACAAUUGGAGGGCAAGUCUGGUGCCAGCAGCCGCGGUAAUUCCAGCUCCAAUAGCGUAUAUUAAAGUUGUUGCAGUUAAAAAGCUCGUAGUUGAACCUUGGGUCUGGCUGGCCGGUCCGCCUCACCGCGAGUACUGGUCCGGCUGGACCUUUCCUUCUGGGGAACCUCAUGGCCUUCACUGGCUGUGGGGGGGAACCAGGACUUUUACUGUGAAAAAAUUAGAGUGUUCAAAGCAGGCCUUUGCUCGAAUACAUUAGCAUGGGAAUAAUAGAAUAAGGACGUGCGGGUUCUAUUUUGUUGGGUUUCUAGGACCGCCCGUAAUGAUUAAUAAGGGAUAGUUCGGGGGGCGUCAGUAAUUCAGCUGUUCAGAAGGUGAAAAUUCUUGGAAUUUGCUGAAAAACUAACUUACUGCGAAAAGCAUUUCGCCCAAGGAAGGUUUUCAUUUAAUCCAGGGGAACCAAAAGUUUAGGGGGAUCCAAAGAACGAAUCAUAAUACCCGUCCUUAGUGCCUUAACCCAUAAAACUCAUGGCCGAACUAAGGGAAUCGGGGCGGUGGUUUCCUAUGAAAGAACCCCGCUCCGGUACCCUUUACUAGAAAAAUCAAAAGUUUUUUGGGGUUCUGGGGGGGAAAGUAUUGGUUCCCACUAGGCUUGAAAAACUUUAUGAAAAAUUUGUAAGGGAAGAGGGUUCCCCCCUAAG